Molecule: ribosomal RNA, 328 nt
Filed under: uncultured cyanobacterium
Lineage: Bacteria; Bacillati; Cyanobacteriota
Description: partial 16S ribosomal RNA
Rfam family: Bacterial small subunit ribosomal RNA
Source: RNAcentral
GAAAGCCUGACGGAGCAACGCCGCGUGAGGGAGGAAGGCCUBUGGGUUGUAAACCYCUUUUCUCAGGGAAGAAGUUCUGACGGUACCUGAGGAAUCAGCAUCGGCUAACUCCGUGCCAGCAGCCGCGGUAAGACGGAGGAUGCAAGCGUUAUCCGGAAUUAUUGGGCGUAAAGCGUYCGUAGGCGGUUCAKAAAGUCUGCUGUUAAAGCUCACAGCUYAACUGUGRAUCGGCAGUGGAAACUUCUGRRCUAGAGARUGGUAGGGGUARAGGGAAUUCCUAGUGUAGCGGUGAAAUGCGUAGAUAUUAGGAAGAACACCAGUGGCGAAG